AGACCCGAAACCCGGUGAUCUAGCCAUGGGCAGGUUGAAGGUUGGGUAACACUAACUGGAGGACCGAACCGACUAAUGUUGAAAAAUUAGCGGAUGACCUGUGGCUGGGGGUGAAAGGCCAAUCAAACCGGGAGAUAGCUGGUUCUCCCCGAAAGCUAUUUAGGUAGCGCCUCGUGAAUUCAUCUCCGGGGGUAGAGCACUGUUUCGGCUAGGGGGUCAUCCCGACUUACCAACCCGAUGCAAACUGCGAAUACCGGAGAAUGUUAUCACGGGAGACACACGGCGGGUGCUAACGUCCGUCGUGAAGAGGGAAACAACCCAGACCGCCAGCUAAGGUCCCAAAGUCAUGGUUAAGUGGGAAACGAUGUGGGAAGGCCCAGACAGCCAGGAUGUUGGCUUAGAAGCAGCCAUCAUUUAAAGAAAGCGUAAUAGCUCACUGGUCGAGUCGGCCUGCGCGGAAGAUGUAACGGGGCUAAACCAUGCACCGAAGCUGCGGCAGCGACACUCAGGUGUUGUUGGGUAGGGGAGCGUUCUGUAAGCCUGCGAAGGUGGCCUGUGAGGGUUGCUGGAGGUAUCAGAAGUGCGAAUGCUGACAUAAGUAACGAUAAAGCGGGUGAAAAGCCCGCUCGCCGGAAGACCAAGGGUUCCUGUCCAACGUUAAUCGGGGCAGGGUGAGUCGACCCCUAAGGCGAGGCCGAAAGGCGUAGUCGAUGGGAAACGGGUUAAUAUUCCCGUACUUGGUGUUACUGCGAAGGGGGGACGGAGAAGGCUAUGUUGGCCGGGCGACGGUUGUCCCGGUUUAAGCGUGUAGGUGUGUGUUCCAGGUAAAUCCGGUUCACUUUAACACUGAGGCGUGAUGACGAGGCACUACGGUGCUGAAGCAACAAAUGCCCUGCUUCCAGGAAAAGCCUCUAAGCAUCAGGUAACAUCAAAUCGUACCCCAAACCGACACAGGUGGUCAGGUAGAGAAUACCAAGGCGCUUGAGAGAACUCGGGUGAAGGAACUAGGCAAAAUGGUGCCGUAACUUCGGGAGAAGGCACGCUGACACGUAGGUGAAGUGAUUUACUCAUGGAGCUGAAGUCAGUCGAAGAUACCAGCUGGCUGCAACUGUUUAUUAAAAACACAGCACUGUGCAAACACGAAAGUGGACGUAUACGGUGUGACGCCUGCCCGGUGCCGGAAGGUUAAUUGAUGGGGUCAGCGCAAGCGAAGCUCCUGAUCGAAGCCCCGGUAAACGGCGGCCGUAACUAUAACGGUCCUAAGGUAGCGAAAUUCCUUGUCGGGUAAGUUCCGACCUGCACGAAUGGCGUAAUGAUGGCCAGGCUGUCUCCACCCGAGACUCAGUGAAAUUGAACUCGCUGUGAAGAUGCAGUGUACCCGCGGCAAGACGGAAAGACCCCGUGAACCUUUACUAUAGCUUGACACUGAACAUUGAGCCUUGAUGUGUAGGAUAGGUGGGAGGCUUUGAAGCGUGGACGCCAGUCUGCGUGGAGCCGACCUUGAAAUACCACCCUUUAAUGUUU
This 1524-nucleotide ribosomal RNA is filed under the name Salmonella enterica. RNAcentral describes it as "partial 23S ribosomal RNA". It matches the Rfam family "Bacterial large subunit ribosomal RNA", at positions 711 to 2215 of the family's 2925-position model. The record is from RNAcentral. Lineage: Bacteria; Pseudomonadati; Pseudomonadota; Gammaproteobacteria; Enterobacterales; Enterobacteriaceae. RNAcentral also lists the same sequence under 1 other name.